UGAGGAAUCUUGGACAAUGGGGGAAACCCUGAUCCAGCGACGCCGCGUGAAGGAUGAAGGUCUUCGGAUUGUAAACUUCUUUUAUUCGGGAAUAAAAAACCUCUAGAAAUAGAGUGAUUGAAGGUACCGGAUGAAUAAGCCACGGCUAACUUCGUGCCAGCAGCCGCGGUAAUACGAAGGUGGCAAGCGUUACUCGGAAUUACUAGGCGUAAAGGGCAGGUAGGUGGUUUGAUAAGUCUGUUGUGUAAGCUCCCGGCUUAACUGGGAGAGGUCAACAGAAACUAUCAGGCUUGAGUAUGGGAGAGGGUACUGGAAUUCCCGGUGUAGCGGUGAAAUGCGCAGAUAUCGGGAGGAACACCAAUGGCGAAAGCAGGUACCUGGACUAUUACUGACACUCAGCUGCGAAAGCUAGGGGAGCAAACAGG
RNAcentral lists this ribosomal RNA (425 nucleotides) under uncultured bacterium. RNAcentral describes it as "bacterial SSU rRNA". It matches the Rfam family "Bacterial small subunit ribosomal RNA", at positions 355 to 776 of the family's 1533-position model. The record is from RNAcentral.